RNAcentral lists this ribosomal RNA (308 nucleotides) under uncultured Glomeromycotina. RNAcentral describes it as "partial large subunit ribosomal RNA". It matches the Rfam family "Eukaryotic large subunit ribosomal RNA", at positions 289 to 598 of the family's 3401-position model. Lineage: Eukaryota; Fungi; Glomeromycota. The record is from RNAcentral.
UUUGGGAGGUAAAAUUUCUCUUAGGGCUAAAUACAGGCGAGAGACCGAUAGCGACCAAGUACCGUGAGGGAAAGAUGAAAAGAACUUUGAAAAGAGAGUCAACCAGUACGUGAAAUUGUUGAAAGGGAAACGAUUGAAGCCGUUCGUACCGCGGGGAAUUCAAUUUCUUAAGUGUUUGCCUUGGGUGACGUUGAGCUUCGCGGCCUUCGUCGCUUUGCGUUAUGGUACUUUUGGGGUGCACUUUUCCGUAUGGGAAGGCCAUAUCCAUUUUGGACGUCAAAAAAAGAACGGAAGAAGGUACCUCCAUU